ACCUCAGUAGCUCAACGGUAGAGCAAUCGGCUGUUAACCGAUAGGUUGCAGGUUCGAAUCCCGCCUGAGGUGCCA
This 75-nucleotide transfer RNA is filed under the name Bacillota bacterium. Its description in RNAcentral is "Firmicutes bacterium (anaerobic digester metagenome) tRNA-Asn". It matches the Rfam family "tRNA". Rfam says of the family: Transfer RNA (tRNA) molecules are approximately 80 nucleotides in length. Their secondary structure includes four short double-helical elements and three loops (D, anti-codon, and T loops). Further hydrogen bonds mediate the characteristic L-shaped molecular structure. tRNAs have two regions of fundamental functional importance: the anti-codon, which is responsible for specific mRNA codon recognition, and the 3' end, to which the tRNAs corresponding amino acid is attached (by aminoacyl-tRNA synthetases). tRNAs cope with the degeneracy of the genetic code in two manners: having more than one tRNA (with a specific anti-codon) for a particular amino acid; and 'wobble' base-pairing, i.e. permitting non-standard base-pairing at the 3rd anti-codon position. The record is from RNAcentral. Lineage: Bacteria; Bacillati; Bacillota.